AGGCGCCGGCUCGGGCGGCGCGGACUGGGAGCGGCGGGGCGCGGACGGCGUGGACCAACAGCAGCGAGCAGGAGUUUCCUUCCUGCGAGCAGAAAGUAAUCGGCAUACACACUGUAGCCUAAGAAUUCUGGGUGCCACCUCUCUGUGUCUAAGACAAGCACAGCUUUUCUUCACAUGGGUCACCAACCCCUCAACAACCAGAGCAUCCUGGGCCAGAAGCCUGCAAGCUUCCUCACGAACGGGGUGAGCUGCAUAAACACAGGGCCGUGAGUGAGCCUCAUGCUGGGUGAGGAACGGGACCUGCCCUUUGCAAGGAGCUUUCUGGACGUCAUCAGGAGCUCGGGCUACCUUCCACCAGGAGGAAGCCAGGCCACCGACAGACACGGCCCCCGGGGCGCAUGGCCGCACCUUGGAGAUCCCUGAUAUGAUGAUGGUGCUCUUCUUCCGCGGAGACUUGACCUUCAGCUUUGAGGACUCGCUGAGCUGGCGGAUGGCGACUUCUGCCACGGGAUCCGAGCCGUUCAGCACCAGCAGCUCUGCGGGAGGGAAGGCGGCACUGAGCACAUCACACACCGUCCUGGGGACCUCCAGGGCUGAUGGAGAUGAUCCCCAGGCAGGGGCCGGCAAAUCGCUUCCGGAAAGGGCCAGACAGUAAACGGGUUAAGCUUCGUGGGCCGGCCUGGGCCACGAGCUCUCACGGAGGCCUCAGUCCCGUGCAGGCAGCCUGAGCCUGAACGGAAGUGAUCGGACAAGGCCGGGCUCCGAUGGAAUUCAUGAACAGAAACAGGGCCAGGUUUGGCUCACAGACCCUCUUGGUCUAUCGCUGCUUCUGGAUGGUUCCACACACUCACUGCUGUGUACUUACUCAGAUUUCUGCACUUUCUCAUAUGCUAGUCAUACCUCCAUAGAGUUGAUGAAAAACAAUGAAAGCAGGAAGACCAACAAACAAAAAACCUCUGACCCCUUAGACAACUUUGAACUUUGGAAGGCAAUGCCCUUUCCUUCCCGAGAGUGGUUCAACACAGUGAGUUCGUACAGGCAGCUCCUCCCUGUGGUCAGCACCCCACAUGUGGCCAACAUCUGUGGGAUGCUUACCACCUAGCAGGUGCUUGCCGAGGGCUGGGAGAGCACACUGUUUUGUGUCGCCAUCCCACACCCUAUGACGCAGGGGCCUUUUUUAUGCCCAUCUGAGACGUGGGGGGAUGUCAGGCAGCCAGGGGGAUGGCCCGGCCGAGGUCGCUGACGCCGAGCUGGUGCCUAUCCCUUCACUGAGGCAGCCCCUGCUCAGGCAGAGUCGAACAACAACGCGAUCAGAAGGGCAGGCGUUAACAGGAGCGUCCCCCGCCUCGGUUUCCGACUGCAGACGACAGAUGCUCCGUUUCCCGGGGGACUGGCGAGGGGCCGACGCGGCCACACGCUGCCUGGCUGCCACCCACAGUGAGAAACGAGAGGCUCACGAGGAGGGGGCUGGCGAGGACUCCCCAGGGGAGCACCUGGCGGCUCUGAGCUGUCCUUCAAAGCCCUGUCCAGGUGCCAGGGGUGCCCAAGAAGGCUACGAUGGCCCCGGGGGCGCCUGGCGGCUGGCUCUGCUGCCCAUGGAGCGGGAGAGAAACCUACAGUGGGAACGUCAGGCUGUUAAAAAGGGAUCCUGCGCAGGGGAAGGAGUCCCUGCAGUACGAGGCAGCGGGGCGCUCGGCGAGGGGCAGGAAAAGGGGCAUCGGGAGCGGCCAGCCACAGGAGGGCCACGGCUGCGUCUAGGAGGCUGCAGCUGGGGGGCGCUGCGGUUUCCAGAGAGCCGUGACCACUCCCGCAGGGAGAGGCACUGUCAGCUUUGCCAGGCUGAGGGAUGACCCGAAGCCGUCCGAAGACAGCACCCGUCAGAUGAGAGCUUCCUGCCCCCCGUCCUCUCCUCCUUGUCCCAUCCUUGACCUUGGCAAGACCAGAAACAGGACUGGGAGGAUGGGGAGAGGUGAGCCGGAGAGAAGGAGCCCGCCUGCCCUUUGUCUGACAGCAGGUCACACCCGAGCAAAGGGAGCAAACGUAAUCCCCAAGUUUAGAUUGUGCUUUGACUUAGGGAGGCCGUAACUCCUCUCUCCAAAGACAUUUAUUCCCUAAACGUGACCAUAAAAAUGGGGAAUUUGCGAGCAGAGUUCUGCGGGGCGACCACUCCUAACGAGCAGCUUUUCUGGGACAGCGGGAGACGACAACAAAGCUGCCUUUAGGACUACACCCCCAAGUCCUGUUUAUGUGAAGAUAUUCAGAGCACUGGUGUACUGAGCGCGAGGAGAAUAAUGCUCAAAAGUUUUAUAACGUGAGGCAUAAACUGGGUUUUCAUGUUUAUUUUGUGAAAGCGUCUGCUAAAACUUAACGCCACCCCUGGUCUCUGCCUGUCUUCCAUUCCCCCAGUCUCCUCCUCAUUCUGCUCUUAUUACUCAAAAAAGUGCCUCCCAAACUCCGAAAAGGAAAUGCUGACCUGUGGACAGAUGAGAAAGACAGGAGGAGAGCCUGGAAGGAGGCGAGAGGGAGGACGCCGUGAGCACGCGCCCCGUUACCUGUGUCCGAAGAAGAGAAGGUCUUACUGACAGGAGCCCCGUGGCAGGAGAUGGCUUGGACAGAGAUGUCCUUCUCGAUCACCUUCACCUUGACGGGUGUCUUCAGGGGAGACUCUGCCAGGAGAAAAUCCAGAUCACAAUGGCCCCAAAAGCCAUCUGAACCUACAGUUCCCGGAAGGUGAAAUCACACCUCUCACGCAACCCCGUCCAUUUGGAUUUUUUUAACAGUCUCUCAUUUUGGGGGGGAGGGAGGUAGGGGAGGCGAGGACCCAAAAGAAUGCUGGGAACCUGGGUUUAAAUAAAAUUUCAGAAACAUUUUAAUUAAGCCAGAAUUUCACUUUGUUUUGUAUUGAAGAAC
Molecule: long non-coding RNA, 2910 nt
Organism: Leptonychotes weddellii (Weddell seal)
Lineage: Eukaryota; Metazoa; Chordata; Mammalia; Carnivora; Phocidae
Source: RefSeq, a predicted model, not a curated record